AGGAAACACAUUGUUGGAAUGACUGGUGAUGGUGUCAAUGAUGCUCCUGCAUUGAAGAAAGCUGACAUUGGUAUUGCUGUGGCCGAUGCUACAGAUGCUGCUCGUGGUGCUUCAGAUAUUGUUCUCACUGCACCUGGAUUGAGUGUUAUCAUCAGUGCAGUGCUCACUAGCAGAGCUAUCUUCCAGAGAAUGAAGAACUACACCGUGCACAUUCUCUUAGUUUUUUUCUUACAUUAUGCCCACUAUUUGUGUUCGCUUGCACCAAUAUCUAACAUCUUUUUCUUGCUUAUGACAGAUUUAUGCAGUGUCAAUCACAAUCCGUAUUGUGGUAAGUAGACACUCCAUUUAGAUAUCUAUCUCUUAUUACCAUGAUCUUUCUUUUGUGUACUGAUUAUAUUGCGAUAUACUUUGUGCAGUUUGGUUUCAUGCUUAUUGCUCUGAUAUGGGAAUUUGACUUUUCAGCGUUCAUGGUUCUGAUUAUUGCCAUCCUUAAUGACGGUGAGCAAAUGGCUUUACUUUACUAUAUAGACUUCUAAUACUUUAUCUGCAUUAUCUUAUCUUAUGGUAUUGAUUGUUGCUAUCUUUUAGGUACCAUCAUGACAAUCUCAAAGGAUAGAGUCAAGCCAUCUCCCACACCUGAUAGCUGGAAGCUCAAAGAAAUUUUCGCCACCGGAAUUGUGCUUGGAGGUUACCAAGCCGUUAUGAGUGUUGUUUUCUUCUGGUCGAUUCACAAGACCGACUUUUUCUCCGUAAGCUUCAUCAGCUCAUUUUCUUUUCAUCUUUUGUGUAAAGAUNNNNNNNNNNNNNNNNNNNNNNNNNNNNNNNNNNNNNNNNNNNNNNNNNNNNNNNNNNNNNNNNNNNNNNNNNNNNNNNNNNNNNNNNNNUUUUAAAGUUACCUGUUGGCGAUUACCAUUACGGAUAGCUCUCUGCUGCGGUGAGUCCUCAUCAGCUAUAACGAAGAGAUUUGAGAUUUCUUUCAAGGGGAAAAGAUAAAGAACAAUGAGAUUCUUUUGUACCUAUCAAACUUGGAGGUUCGAGAUCACCAGGCGGGUUAAGUUUGACCCACUCGUCCACUGUCUCCUUCCAUUUUCUAGCAGACACAAAAGUGAGUUAGUUGUUUCUUGUUCGAAUUUGAGAUUUGAGCAAGAGAGAAAGUUCUUGUGAAUCUGAUCGUAACUUGACAAGUUUUUUAGCUAGUGUCCGAACAUCGUUCGAUGAAUGCUUCCGAACUUUAUUCACAUGCCUCCCAAUAUCAGUUUCCUAAAGCGACCAAAACAUCAUAUAAACUAUGAAUAAAGAAAGCUAAGAGAGAGUGUUAGUAUUCGAAUUUGACUUCACUACCUGGAGAGCUUGGAAUGUUAUCUCCAUAUCAUCCAGAUUCUGAAGCAGCUCAACCAAAUCUUCUUCCGACUUAAAAACAACAAACAAACCAAAACACUCUUCAAAAACUGAAACCGAAUCUAGAUUCAAGAGAGAUAUUAAGAAGACCAACCAGAUCAGGAUCUUCAAGCCUCUCCUUGAUUUCAAGAACACUCUUCUGCUCAUCAUCAAACAAACCAGCAAACGGAUCGUAACCAUCAUCCUCCUCAUCAUCAUCCUCGCCAUUAACUGAUUUCUCUCUUACUUCUUCUUCCUCCUCCUCCUCGUGAACACUCCCAUUAGCCCUAGCAACCUCUCCUCCGCCUCCACCGAAGUCGCAGUUCCUACACUUGUUAGCCAUGGAGGUCGCGUAGAGACGCUCGACGAUGUUAUCUCUCCGCCGCUUCAGCUCUUGACCGUAAUCAAGGGAGGCAACGAGGAUCGCUGUAUCUAUAAAUGUCCAGACAUCGACGCCUGCGUUAUCCAUAACCGACCGAAAAUCAUCCAAAUCCAUCACCAAAGUUCGUUACUUUACAGAAAUAGAAAAAAAAAACAGAGGAGACGACGAGAUCUACAAAAACGGAUCUUUCUGAUGAAUUCAAUUCAUCGUGAGAUUGAAAAUCCAACAGAGUUUGGACUCAAUUCAAUCGGAAUCAGAUUAAAUCCGAUGAAAAAGGCAGACCCUUUGAUUGAUGAAUCUGUAUUAUUAUUACAGGAAAACAGAGAAGAAGAAGAAAAAAACAGAAACAGAGAAAAAUGGGAGAAGAAAGGGAAUAUUCCAAGUUUGAGUCUUUUAGAAUAUGUUUUUUUUUUUCUUUUGUUCGGUAAAAAUAUUCUUCAGACAAAACCAAUCACAAGUUAAAAGAAAAGGAGAUUUGCUUUAAUCAGGAUGCUCUUGUCCUGGACAGAGCAAAGCUGAAGCGCAAGUUGGUAUGUUCUGGUUGGGGAGAUGAACAUACAGCUAGAGAGAGAGAGAGAGAGAGAGAGGCGUGUGUUUUUCAAUAAUGGCGUUUACUUUUUUUUAGUAUUUUUUUCUUUGAUUACAUACUUUAGUUAAUGGGCCUUUAAAUUGUUGGCCCAAAAUAAGUGGAGGCGAAACGGGAAAUUAAUAAAAUAGAUGUUUAUACACAUUUAACUAAUGGGCCUUUUACUUACGGACCCAUUUAAGUGGAUGACAAUGCUUUGGAUCGAUUAUCAACGUGUACUAACUCCUGCCAUUGAUGUCUUUAUGAGCCCACUUGCUGUUUUUAGUUUAAAUCUCAGAUGGACCCAUUAGCUGGCGUAGAGGAUGCGUACUAUCAUUAAAACAUCAGAGUAAGUAUAACUAUCAUCUGACUUGCUACUUUAUGUUUAGCAUGUCUCAUUGAAUAUGUGACGCAGAGGUGCAUUAAUUGUUACUUUCUUGAAAGGUUUACUGUUGGAGACAUCUUUGGUUUACAGCUCGGCAAGACCUGGAAGGAUUCUCUACGCUUGUGGCUCGUAAACUCUAUAAUCAAUGGUUGGUAUGAUUAGUUCUGAAAACUUUUUAAAUUUGUUUUAGUUCAGUUUAUUGAACUGGGAACAACAAAGACUCAGUGGUUCUGACACAUACAACGGUCAAGAGGCCGGCCAAAUCAAAGACACGGAGACAGAAGAAGCUUGUUUGAUGUGGGCUCCUCCUAUGUACUAUAUCUCAUCGGGUAAGCUUUCAGUUUAUGAACCAUUUCUUUAAUGGUGAGUCUUUGGAUAUGAAUUUGUUUAUCUAAGUGAUUAUGUUUAAGUACUAUUCUAAAUAUGUUUUACAUGUAAGGGCUGGGGUAUCAAAAUGUUUUUCAAAAGGCUAAUAACAAUGUGAUAGUGUAUCCAUUAGUUAUCUUACAGACAUUAGGAAUGUAAUGUCCCUUUCAAACAUAUUGUCAACACCUUUUCGUGAAAUUUGGACUUUUACUGGAAGCAUCCGGUGAGUUAGCAGUGGCCAUACGUCUUAAUAAUUAUCAAAUGGAUUUAUCCAACAGCCGCCAGUCAUUUUGGCUACAUGCUUGUUGGUGAUUAUCCGAGUUUAUCAAAAUCAUUUCACAAUUAAAAAAUAUUUGCAUUGAGGGUUGGUAAUUCAGCUCGUUUGUGUGUAUACCCAACUUUAUAAGUGAGCAGUCUAGUUAAGAUCAAGUCUAUCUCAUCUAUGAAUUCAUGUUUAAAUUUACAUCUGUAAAACCAAAACUAGACAAUAUAUAAUAAACAUCCCUAAACAUCAAACACUAAUUAAACAGUAAACACAUAAUACUAGUAAAAACCAAUAAUCCUUGGAAUCAAUCUCAGUCCAGUAAUAAUUACAAACUUAAGCAAAUAAUCAAUAAAUAAAAGCUAAAUUUAAAAGUGUCUCUAUUAACACCUAUCAAACCAAACUUUAUGUUUGGCCAUCAAUUUCUACAUAUUGAAAUGAGUGGUUUUAAGUCAUCUCACGAUUCAAGUCUGUAAACAUCCCCGUUCUCUUUCUAAUAAAUUUCCACCAUGCUCAUCGAUUUAUAGUAUACACUUAUAUUUUAUCAUACUCCAAUGUUUAUAAUCUAUAGUUCUUAUAAUCGAAUUAAAUUGAUUAGGUUAUGUUCUACACCCCCUAUUGAAGAUAUAACUAAUCUUAAUCUCAAUUUCUUAUGAAAAGUACUUAUAAAAAACUAAUCAUACUUGUAGUUCGUUUGUAAAAAUAAUAUAUAUAAUCAACAUUCUUUUUUGGCUAAAUUCAGGAAGAAAAUAUAUAAAAUGUGGCACCGACAGUUUAUAAUUUUAAUUUUCCAUAAGAGCAGGUGGCCCAAGGAUUUGGAGAAAAUAGUACAGAGAAUGCAAUUCCAGUCGAACAUGGAAUGUGACAUAUGAUGUUUUAACCCAUUAAUAAAUGUUUUUUUUGUUUCUCUUCUUUAAAUUCCAAUUUUAGUUUUAAGCUAACACUUUCAAAAUACGUAAGUUUCUUUCUCAACUUACUCAUAUAUCGAUUGUCGGCAAAUGUAUACAUAUGAAUGCAUAGUGUAUAUACUUGAGGUGACAUGAUAGUCUCAAUAAGUGUACAUUUUUUCCUCUCGUACCAUUUUCUAUAUGGUCAACAGUGCAUUAACAGAAGGAAAGACAAAUGUUGAAUAGUGGUGGGCGGAUCCAGUCUGAUUAUAGAUCUAGGGAAGAGUUAAUGAAUAGAAUUAUAAUAUUAAGUACGUAUUUAACGCAAGGGAAUGAAACCAUUGAUAUAAAAGAUAGUACUCACUUACAAAAUUGUAAACGGCUAAAAGGUAUAAAACCAAUGCGGUCAACAACAUCUAUACUAUAUUAAAAGGGUUAUAUGAGCAUCAGAGAGAAUGUCCACGUAGGACAAUUAAAUCAUCCAAUCAGAAGACUCCUUUUUGACAUGUCAGCACGAAUUUAUAAAUGUGGGCUUUGUUAUUUUUUUAAUCCCAGAUGUUGAUGUUAAAGUCCAUUCCCUUUGCUCUUCGCCUUCUUCGUUUCACUUUUCACGAUCUGAAAUCUGAAAGGAGAGAUUCGACGUUGUCCUUUGCUCUUCCUCUUCUUCGUUUCCUUUCAUCAUUUUCUAUAUCAAGAAAUCCAUGGCUACGUAGAUGCUAUAUCAAGAUAACCCCUUCGCUCAGACGAAUCCUUAUGUCUCUUCCUCCCCCAAUCUCUACCCUCCCGUCUCCUCGAGCCCUAACCACGACGACUCAUCCAACAACCAACCACCGUCUGCUCCGCCGCAGGCUGUGGAAGAGGUUCACAUCCGAGUCCCCGGCGCAAUCCCAACCUCAUCGACAAAUCAUACAGCGUGGAGCUCGCGUGCGGCGAUCUCACCAUCGUUCGAAUCGUGCAGGGAGAGAGCAUCGUCGCCAUUCUCGCCAACGUCGCUGACGAGAUCCAGUGGCCGUUAACGAAACGCGAGGUUGCGACCAAGGUUGAUGGAUCGCAUUACUUCUUCUCGAUCCAUCCGCCGAAGGAAUCAUGAUCCGAUUCGGAUGAUGAGAUGAUAAACUACGGAUUAACCAUUGCUUCGAAAGGGCAAGAGAACGUGUUACAUGGGCUUGAUCACGUUCUUAGGGACUAUUGCUGUUUCGUGGGGCAGAGGAUGUCUGAGAAGGCGAAGGGUGAAGAGGGUGAAGAGGUGCUUGGAAACUCAAUGGCUGCUGCGACUUUUCCCGAGGAGUUGAAGGGUGAGAGGAAGGACAUUGUGGAGGGUCAAUGCGCGGCGUAUUGGACCACGCUCGCGCCUAACAUUGAGGAUUACAGUAGCAAGACUGCUAAGAUGAUAGCUUCUUGGUCAGGUCAGCUGAUCAGAGGGAUACUUUGGUGUGGGGAUGUGACUGUGGAGAGGCUUAAGAGGGGGAACGAGGUUAUGAAGAAUAGGCUGAGUCGUGCUGAGAAGGAGAAAGAUGUUAGUCCUGAGACGUUGAGGAGAAUCAAGAGGUAUGGUGAUGUUUAAUAUCAUUUGUAGUAAGAGAUGCUUCUGUGUUCUAAAGAAAGGUUGAGACUUUUUAAUAUAUAUAUAAAUAGUCAAUGUGCUUUGUUAUGGUAGUUUUUAUUGAACGAACAAAUUGUUUGCUUGUGCUAAUUUCUAUGUAAAAGGGUUAAGAGAGUGACACAAAUGACGGAGAAAGUGGCGACUGGUGUUCUUUCUGGGGUUGUCAAAGUCUCUGGACUCAUCACUAGCUCGGUGGCUAACUCAAAGGCUGGGAAGAAGUUUUUUGGCCUCUUGCCUGGAGAGAUCAUUCUUGCAUCCCUCGAUGGAUUUAGUAAGUAUAUUACUUGAUUUUGGGUUUCCCACAUUUUAUAUCCCAUGGUUGGAGGGUCUUGGACAAACUUAUUGAUCAUGAAUUGUAUUGCUUUCUUUCUUUCAUCAACAUUUACAAUCAUGCUUUUUUAUCCAUAUUUAUUUCUGAUGAUUAUUAGUUUUUUCUUUCCUAAUUACGUUUCCAGAUGACAACUUGCUAUUGGUAAGGAAACCGGUCGCAGGCUUGGAAUGCGAACCAACAUGUAUCCAUCUGCAGCUCUUCUUGGUACUGUCAAGGACUCCAACAUUGCAUCCAUUCCUGGGAGUUGAUUGAGAAGGCUGAUGGGUUUGCUAGGGUCUUUCCAGGUUAUAACUUGCUUCUUAAACCUCACCAUAUGUUCAUUCGAAAAGGCUUUGUUAUAUUGAUCCAAGCUUCUUAUCUUCUGAUUCCAGAGCACAAAUAUGAAAUUGUGAACAAGCUGCAAGAGAGGAAACACAUUGUUGGAAUGACUGGUGAUGGUGUCAAUGAUGCUCCUGCAUUGAAGAAAGCUGACAUUGGUAUUGCUGUGGCCGAUGCUACAGAUGCUGCUCGUGGUGCUUCAGAUAUUGUUCUCACUGCACCUGGAUUGAGUGUUAUCAUCAGUGCAGUGCUCACUAGCAGAGCUAUCUUCCAGAGAAUGAAGAACUACACCGUGCACAUUCUCUUAGUUUUUUUCUUACAUUAUGCC
This 6804-nucleotide long non-coding RNA is filed under the name Brassica napus (rape). RNAcentral's name for it is "long non-coding RNA (BNAP_LNC001993)". The record is from RNAcentral. Lineage: Eukaryota; Viridiplantae; Streptophyta; Magnoliopsida; Brassicales; Brassicaceae.